GGGAACCUCACCCGGCCCGGACACCGCGAGGAUUGACAGACUGAGAGCUCUUUCUCGAUUCGGUGGGUGGUGGUGCAUGGCCGUUCUUAGUUGGUGGAGCGAUCUGUCUGGUUAAUUCCGAUAACGAACGAGACCCCAACCUGCUAACUAGCCCUCGGGUCCUGCUUCUGUUGGGCCCGACGGAAUGAUUCGCUUCUUAGAGGGACUCGCGGCGCCUGGCCGCACGAAGGGGGGCGAUAA
This 240-nucleotide ribosomal RNA is filed under the name uncultured eukaryote. RNAcentral's name for it is "partial 18S ribosomal RNA". It matches the Rfam family "Eukaryotic small subunit ribosomal RNA", at positions 1208 to 1456 of the family's 1831-position model. The record is from RNAcentral.